Molecule: ribosomal RNA, 253 nt
Filed under: uncultured bacterium
Lineage: Bacteria
Description: partial 16S ribosomal RNA
Rfam family: Bacterial small subunit ribosomal RNA
Source: RNAcentral
GACAGAGGAGCCAAGCGUUGUCCGGAUUGACUGGGCGUAAAGCGCACGCAGGCGGUUUCGCGCGUGGGGGGUGAAAUCUGGCCGCUUAACGGCCAGGCGCCAUCCCAUACGGCGCGACUGGAGUGAUGCAGAGGUCGAUGGAAUUGCCGGUGUAGUGGUGAAAUGCGUAGAGAUCGGCAGGAACACCCAGGGGGAAACCAGUCGACUGGGCAUCUACUGACGCUGAGGUGCGAGAGCGUGGGGAGCGAACUGG